GCGGAUCCUAACUGGGGCGCAGCCUGAUCAGCCAUACCGCGUGGGUGAACAGUGUCUUCGGGUUGUAAAGCCCUUUUGUUGGGAAAGAAAUCCAUCUGGUUAAUACCCGGAUGGGAUGACGGUACCCAAAGAAUAAGCACCGGCUAACUUCGUGCCAGCAGCCGCGGUAAUACGAAGGGUGCAAGCGUUACUCGGAAUUACUGGGCGUAAAGCGUGCGUAGGUGGUCGUUUAAGUCCGUUGUGAAAGCCCUGGGCUCAACCUGGGAACUGCAGUGGAUACUGGGCGACUAGAAUGUGGUAGAGGGUAGCGGAAUUCCUGGUGUAGCAGUGAAAUGCGUAGAGAUCAGGAGGAACAUCCAUGGCGAAGGCAGCUACCUGGACCAACAUUGACACUGAGGCACGAAAGCGUGGGGAGCAAACAGGAUUAGAUACCCUGGUAGUCCACGCCCUAAACGAUGCGAACUGGAUGUUGGGUGCAAUUUGGCACGCAGUAUCGAAGCUAACGCGUUAAGUUCGCCGCCUGGGGAGUACGGUCGCAAGACUGAAACUCAAAGGAAUUGACGGGGGCCCGCACAAGCGGUGGAGUAUGUGGUUUAAUUCGAUGCAACGCGAAGAACCUUACCUGGCCUUGACAUGUCGAGAACUUUCCAGAGAUGGAUUGGUGCCUUCGGGAACUCGAACACAGGUGCUGCAUGGCUGUCGUCAGCUCGUGUCGAGAGAU
This 721-nucleotide ribosomal RNA is filed under the name Stenotrophomonas sp. j21122. RNAcentral's name for it is "bacterial SSU rRNA". It matches the Rfam family "Bacterial small subunit ribosomal RNA", at positions 357 to 1073 of the family's 1533-position model. The record is from RNAcentral. Lineage: Bacteria; Pseudomonadati; Pseudomonadota; Gammaproteobacteria; Lysobacterales; Lysobacteraceae.